This 120-nucleotide ribosomal RNA is filed under the name Pteropus alecto (black flying fox). The record is from RNAcentral. Lineage: Eukaryota; Metazoa; Chordata; Mammalia; Chiroptera; Pteropodidae.
GUCUAUGGUCAUGCCACCCUGAAAAAGCCGGAUCCCAUCUGAUCUCAGAAGCUAAGGCAGGGUUGGGCCUGGUUAGUACUCGGAUGGGAGACCACCUAGGAAGACCAGGUGCUAUAGGCG